AAGAAUUUAGUUAAAAUAUAACAUUAAUUUGUCAAGUUAAAAUUAUUAAUUUAUUAAUAAUUCUUA
RNAcentral lists this transfer RNA (66 nucleotides) under Medeopteryx sp. Its description in RNAcentral is "tRNA-Asp". Lineage: Eukaryota; Metazoa; Arthropoda; Insecta; Coleoptera; Lampyridae. The record is from RNAcentral.